This 220-nucleotide ribosomal RNA is filed under the name uncultured bacterium. RNAcentral's name for it is "partial 16S ribosomal RNA". It matches the Rfam family "Bacterial small subunit ribosomal RNA", at positions 1283 to 1500 of the family's 1533-position model. The record is from RNAcentral.
UGAUCUCAGUUCGGAUUGCAGGCUGCAACCCGCCUGCAUGAAGUCGGAAUCGCUAGUAAUCGCGGGUCAGCAUACCGCGGUGAAUACGUUCCCGGGCCUUGUACACACCGCCCGUCACACCACGAAAGUUGGUAACACCCGAAGCCGGUGGCCUAACCCUUAGGGGAGGGAGCUGUCGAAGGUGGGACUGAUGAUUGGGGUGAAGUCGUAACAAGGUAAC